Molecule: long non-coding RNA, 343 nt
Organism: Mizuhopecten yessoensis (Yesso scallop)
Lineage: Eukaryota; Metazoa; Mollusca; Bivalvia; Pectinida; Pectinidae
Exons: 3
Source: RefSeq, a predicted model, not a curated record
CUUGGAGAAGCCACUUGGGAUUACUAUUCUACUACUUUUUGCUCAACCUGGACAUGGCUUCAUACUCCUGACCCUGGGUCGACUGAAUAUUGAUUACAAUUGGAAGAGUCUAGGAAUUCGGCCCAUAGCCAGAAUUCAGGAUAUCCAUGUAAAGAUAUAACAGACAGAUAUUAAUUCAUGGAAUUCGAUGAUAUACAUGCAAGAAUAAACGUGAACUGAUUAAUGAACAGUCUUUGUCAAACAUUCACUGGGAACUAACCCAGCCCAGUUACAUUUAGAUAUAUUCAAUUUAAUAGUUACCUAUAAGGCAUUAAGCAUGCCAUCAUAGUAUUUGACCCUUUUA